RNAcentral lists this ribosomal RNA (1235 nucleotides) under metagenome. RNAcentral's name for it is "bacterial LSU rRNA". It matches the Rfam family "Bacterial large subunit ribosomal RNA", at positions 1564 to 2808 of the family's 2925-position model. The record is from RNAcentral.
UGAAUACGAGACGCUAAGGCGUCGAAGUAGUGUAUGUCAUACUUCCAAGAAAAGCUUGCACUGUCAUAGAUAAAAAACGCCUGUACCAUAACCGACACAGGUGGGUAGGUAGAGUAUACUAAGGGGCGCGAGAUAACUCUCUCUAAGGAACUCGGCAAAAUAACUCCGUAACUUCGGGAGAAGGAGUGCCUUAUUAUUAAGGCUGCAAUAACAAGAUCCAAGCAACUGUUUAUCAAAAACACAGGUCUCCGCUAAGUCGUAAGACGAUGUAUGGGGGCUGACGCCUGCCCAGUGCCAGAAGGUUAAAGAAGUUGGUUAGCAUUUGCGAAGCUGAUAACUGAAGCCCUGGUGAACGGCGGCCGUAACAAUAACGGUCCUAAGGUAGCGAAAUUCCUUGUCGGGUAAGUUCCGACCCGCACGAAAGGCGUAAUGAUUUGGAUACUGUCUCGGAGAGGGGCUCGGUGAAAUAGACUUGUCUGUGAAGAUGCGGACUACCUGCACCAGGACAGAAAGACCCUAUGAAGCUUUACUGUAACUUGAAAUUGAAAUUGGACUUUAUUCGCGCAGCAUAGGUGGGAGGCGUUGAUUAUAAUCUUGUGGGAUUAUUGGAGCCAUCAGUGAGAUACCACUCUUGUAAUGUUAGAUUUCUAACUUUGAAUCAUUAUCUGGUCAAAGAACAGUUUCAGGCGGGCAGUUUGACUGGGGCGGUCGCCUCCUAAACGGUAACGGAGGCGUACAAAGGUUUCCUCUGAACGGUUAGAAAUCGUAUCUAGAGUGUAAAGGCAUAAGGAAGCUUGACUGUGAGACCUACAAGUCGAGCAGGGACGAAAGUCGGUCUUAGUGAUCUGACGGUACUGAGUGGAAAGGCCGUCACUCAACGGAUAAAAGUUACUCUAAGGAUAACAGGCUGAUCUCCCCCAAGAGUUCACAUCGACGGGGAGGUUUGGCACCUCGAUGUCGGCUCAUCGCAUCCUGGGGCGGUAGUACGUCCCAAGUGUUGGGCUGUUCGCCCAUGAAAGCGGUACGCGAGCUGGGUUCAGAACGUCGUGAGACAGUUCGGUCCAUAUCCGGUGUAGGCGUUAGAAUAUUGAGAGGAGCCUUCUUUAGUACGAGAGGACCGAGAAGGACAUACCUCUGGUGUACCAGUUAUCGUGCCAACGGUAAACGCUGGGUAGCUAUGUUUGGAGUGGAUAACCGCUGAAAGCAUCUAAGUGGGAAGCCCACCUCAAGAUAAG